UGCUCUUUAACAUAUUGGUCACAUUUCCAAAAGGUAGUAGAGUUACAGAGAUACAUAAAGCUGAAGUGGCAUGUGUGCUUUGUUUUGAGAAAUACUGGAGGACUUGAAAGAGGGCUACAAUCUUUAACCCAUGAAAUGCUAGAUGAGAAGUCUAAGGCAAUUCACUUAUUCCCAGCUCAGCACCCAAGAAUUAAAAAUAUACACCUUUAAGCUAUAAUAGUACAAACAUGAGUUUUCAAUGGGAAAAACAGCUGCAGACAAUGUAAGCCCACUGAAAAACUAACAAACUGUUGAACUGGAGUGAAUCUGCAUUGCUCCAUAAUAAUCAACAUGGAUUUAUCAAGGGUGGAUGAGUACAUAAUCAUAUCCAAAGCAACCAAUGACAUAAAUUCAAUAUUUAUUGGAUGGCAUGGUUGCCAAAAUCAAGGGUACAGACACAAGGAUAUUUUGAUAAUACUCCGCCAUUUCCCCGGUGUUCUAAAUGGUUCGCAGCUCUAGUUUCCCUUUGAAAAUGAGGUAGUUUGCAGGGUAAUUUGCUCCUAGUACUUUCUAGUAAGACAUGUCUUAAGACCCUUAGCAUGAGGUAGUGUGUAAUAUUCUCAUACAUAUGAGGUUUAAGGUGCUCAUUUACUAAAAAGGGAAUUGUAGUGAAUUGACAAGUGAUCUGGAAAAUUUAGAAAAGAAAAAAAGUUUGAAAAUGUUGGCCUUCAUUUUACGAUUUACUUGUCAAUUCGCCACAGUUUUAUUUGGAGAAUAAAUGCAUGGGUGGAGGUCAAUAAUACAGAAAAUAAAGGUGCUGAUGACAUACGUAUUUUCACCCAGAUUUCUUUUACACCAAUCUUAAAAAUAAUGAUUAACAACAAAGUUGUAUAAUGAGGUAACAAUGCCAUCAAAAAGCACUUGAAAUGUUAUGGCAUAUCAAAUUGACAAAGCACACAGUCAACUUAACAUAUUUCUCUAAGGUAGAAAAACAAAACAAAACAAGAAAUACAAUUAAAAAACACAAAUUUUCUGUUGAACAAAUAAAAAAAAUAUUGGUUUGACUUUAUGUAUAGGUAGUUGAAAUUGAAUGCCUUUACCAGUAAUGAGGUCAGAGUCAGAAUUAUCUUGCACUCCCCUUGUUGUUAAUGUGUUUGCUGAAUGUAAUCUCUCUACUCUGUAGCACAAGAGCAAAUUAUAGGCACAACUACAAGAUUACAUUUUCAAUGUAUACCUCCUGGCACAAAGCAUUCAAACUGUCGUUAAUAGAAAUUGUGUUGACAGACAUGGCCAACCAGCGUACCCGUAUUACUAUUAUUAAAAAAUGCUAAAUUGACCAGUCUGUCAAAAAUUUGAUGAGUGAGGAGCAGGGAUGCCCUCGAUUAAUGUAGGACACACCAACUCUGAGGAUAAAAUUGUGCAGUAGCUGGAGACCAGCCAGGGGUCCUCAGAGCUCAAUACUGACUUGGUAUGACAAUUUUGAUACAAUAAACCCAGACAGAUAUAUUGUAAUGAUAUUUCUCUAGAGUUAAUUAGAUGCAGUAGGAGGGGUUUAAUCCCCCUGACAAGACACAGCUAUAAAAGGUAUAACAAUGCAAAUUUAAACAAAAAGAGAAUAAGCAGUCAACAUCAAUACAAAUUCCCAACGUGAAGAUGUACAGAAAAGUUGCUGGGUGACACACAUAAUAUUUCUGUAGACUCUCCAGGCGUAUACCUUACAGUAUUAAAGUCACACAUAUUUAAAAAAGAAAUCAAGAACCUUGCAUAGGUUGCAAUGGCAUUUGCAAUGUUUCUGUAAUCAAUCAAAACCAAAAACUGUU
This 1799-nucleotide long non-coding RNA is filed under the name Pelobates cultripes (western spadefoot toad). The record is from RNAcentral. Lineage: Eukaryota; Metazoa; Chordata; Amphibia; Anura; Pelobatidae.